AUUUGUAGAAGGAAGGAUACAGUCAUUCCCAGGAAAAAGGGCCUUCCCUUUCAGCAACUCUGCCAUGAUGCAUCCAACUGACCAAAUGUCAACUGUCAAAACACAAAAGAAGAAGCGAGGAGGUUGGGAGUGCAAUGGGCAUGACAAAGCUCUUCCCAUCCAAGCCCUUAUUUCAUAGCACAACACAAAGAAGGAGUUAAUUAAGACUGAUAGUUCAAGCUGCUCAGGGGAUAGCAUCAGUCACCCCCAAGAAAGAACCCAAGGUGGCAUACAUGUGGCUCCCAGGUGGUCUCCCAUCCAGGCACUGACCAAAGCCAGACCUACUUAGGUUCAGCAAAGUGAUGACCCCAUGUGCCUUCAGACCAUAGCCUGGGAUAAUUGUGAUUACUGGAUCUGAUACAGCCAAAAUUAAGUACUUGAAGGUUCUGUAGACUUCAACAGAAAAUAGAUAAGCACAUGCUUAACUGUUCCAUUGAAAUAAACGAGAUUUAGA
Rhineura floridana is the source of this 493-nucleotide long non-coding RNA. RefSeq lists it as uncharacterized. Lineage: Eukaryota; Metazoa; Chordata; Lepidosauria; Squamata; Rhineuridae. The transcript has 3 exons. The record is from RefSeq and is a predicted model, not a curated record.